This 100-nucleotide ribosomal RNA is filed under the name Peromyscus maniculatus bairdii (prairie deer mouse). Lineage: Eukaryota; Metazoa; Chordata; Mammalia; Rodentia; Cricetidae. The record is from RNAcentral.
GUCCACAGCCAUUCCACUCUGGGCACUCCUGAUCUCAUCUCAUCUCUGAAGCCAAGCAGAGGCAGGUCUACUUAGUACUUGGAUGGAAGAACUGCAGACA